RNAcentral lists this ribosomal RNA (406 nucleotides) under uncultured bacterium. RNAcentral describes it as "partial 16S ribosomal RNA". It matches the Rfam family "Bacterial small subunit ribosomal RNA", at positions 30 to 526 of the family's 1533-position model. The record is from RNAcentral.
AUUGAACGCUGGCGGCAGGCCUAACACAUGCAAGUCGAACGCGUGGCGGACGGGUGAGUAGUGUCUGGGAAACUGUCUGAUGGCGGGGGAUAACUACUGGAAACGGUAGCUAAUACCGCAUACCAUCAGAUGUGCCCAGAGGGGAUUAGCUAGUUGGUGGGGUAACGGCUCACAAAGGCAACGAUCCCUAGCUGGUCUGAGAGGGUGAACAGCCACACUGGAACUGAGACACGGUCCAGACUCCUACGGGAGGCAGCAGUGGGGAAUAUUGCACAAUGGGCGCAAGCCUGAUGCAGCCAUGCCGCGUGUAUGAAGAAGGCCUUCGGGUUGUAAAGUACUUUCAGCGGGGAGGCGUUACCCGCAGAGGAAGCACCGGCUAACUCCGUGCCAGCAGCCGCGGUAAUAC